ACCCGUACAAGCAGCGGAGCGUGUGGUUUAAUUCGUUGCUACACGAGAACCUUACCUGGGUUUGACAUAUAGGUUGUAGGGAACUGAAAAGGGACCGACCCUUCGGGGAGCCUAUACAGGUGUUGCAUGGCUGUCGUCAGCUCGUGUCGUGAGAUGUUCGGUUAAGUCCGCUAACGAGCGCAACCCUCGUCGUAUGUUAUAUGUGUCAUACGAGACUGCCGGUAAAAGCCGGAGGAAGGUGAGGAUGAUGUCAAGUCAGCAUGACCUUUAUAUCCAGGGCUACACACACGCUACAAUGGUCUGUACAAUGGGUAGCCAAGCCGCGAGGCGGAGCCAAUCCUGAAAGCAGGCCUCAGUUCAGAUUGCAGUCUGCAACUCGACUGCAUGAAGCCGGAGUUGCUAGUAACCGCAGGUCAGCAAUACUGCGGUGAAUACGUUCCCGGGUCUU
RNAcentral lists this ribosomal RNA (448 nucleotides) under uncultured Anaerolineaceae bacterium. Its description in RNAcentral is "bacterial SSU rRNA". It matches the Rfam family "Bacterial small subunit ribosomal RNA", at positions 919 to 1382 of the family's 1533-position model. The record is from RNAcentral. Lineage: Bacteria; Bacillati; Chloroflexota; Anaerolineae; Anaerolineales; Anaerolineaceae.